CCAGACAUAAACCUAGAUAGCACACACACACUCUAUCCGCCAGAGAACUACCAGCGAAAAGCUAAAAACUCAAAGGACUUGACAGUGUCCCACAUCAACCUAGAGGAGCCUGUCCUAUAAUCGACAAUCCACGUUAUACCCAACCUGUCCUUGCCUAAUCAGCCUAUAUACCGCCGCCUUCUGCCUACCUAAUGAUAGCCCCAAUAGGCAAAACAGCAACCCGCUAAAACGUCAGGUCAAGGUGUAGCUAAUGGACAGGAAGAGAUGGGCUACAUUUUCUACCACCAGAAAACACCACCGCGUUCAUGAAACUCCCGUUAAAGGUGGAUUUAGCAGUAAGCUCAGCAAGACAAGCCAAGCUGAAAUACGCUCUGGGACG
RNAcentral lists this ribosomal RNA (379 nucleotides) under Tropiocolotes tripolitanus. RNAcentral describes it as "partial 12S ribosomal RNA". It matches the Rfam family "Bacterial small subunit ribosomal RNA", at positions 796 to 1381 of the family's 1533-position model. The record is from RNAcentral. Lineage: Eukaryota; Metazoa; Chordata; Lepidosauria; Squamata; Gekkonidae.